Molecule: transfer RNA, 71 nt
Filed under: Jeotgalibacillus malaysiensis
Lineage: Bacteria; Bacillati; Bacillota; Bacilli; Caryophanales; Caryophanaceae
Description: tRNA-Und (NNN) (tRNA-Und-NNN-2-1)
Rfam family: tRNA
About the family: Transfer RNA (tRNA) molecules are approximately 80 nucleotides in length. Their secondary structure includes four short double-helical elements and three loops (D, anti-codon, and T loops).
Source: RNAcentral
GGCUCGUCUGUAGGACAGAUACUUCUCUCAUACGGAAGAUAUGGAUGGUUCGAUUCCAUCACGAGCCACCA